This 440-nucleotide ribosomal RNA is filed under the name uncultured bacterium. RNAcentral describes it as "partial 16S ribosomal RNA". It matches the Rfam family "Bacterial small subunit ribosomal RNA", at positions 338 to 794 of the family's 1533-position model. The record is from RNAcentral.
CCUACGGGAGGCAGCAGUAAGGAAUCUUGCGCAAUGGGCGAAAGCCUGACGCAGCGACGCCGCGUGGGCGAUGAAGGCCUUCGGGUUGUAAAGCCCUUUUCUGGGGGACGAGGAAGGACGGUACCCCAGGAAUAAGUCACGGCUAACUACGUGCCAGCAGCCGCGGUAAUACGUAGGGGGCAAGCGUUGUUCGGAUUUACUGGGCGUAAAGAGCGCGUAGGCGGUUUGAUAAGUCAUGGGUGAAAGUCCUCAGCUCAACUGAGGUUCCGCCCAUGAAACUGUCUGACUUGAGUUUAGGAGAGGAGAGCGGAAUUCCCAGUGUAGCGGUAAAAUGCGUAGAUAUUGGGAGGAACACCGGUGGCGAAGGCGGCUCUCUGGACUAAUACUGACGCUGAGGCGCGAAAGCUAGGGGAGCAAACGGGAUUAGAUACCCCUGUAGU